This 96-nucleotide transfer RNA is filed under the name Chloroflexota bacterium. Its description in RNAcentral is "Chloroflexi bacterium tRNA-Ser". It matches the Rfam family "tRNA". From Rfam's summary of the family: Transfer RNA (tRNA) molecules are approximately 80 nucleotides in length. Their secondary structure includes four short double-helical elements and three loops (D, anti-codon, and T loops). Further hydrogen bonds mediate the characteristic L-shaped molecular structure. tRNAs have two regions of fundamental functional importance: the anti-codon, which is responsible for specific mRNA codon recognition, and the 3' end, to which the tRNAs corresponding amino acid is attached (by aminoacyl-tRNA synthetases). tRNAs cope with the degeneracy of the genetic code in two manners: having more than one tRNA (with a specific anti-codon) for a particular amino acid; and 'wobble' base-pairing, i.e. permitting non-standard base-pairing at the 3rd anti-codon position. The record is from RNAcentral. Lineage: Bacteria; Bacillati; Chloroflexota.
GGGGAGGUCGCAUAGUUGGCCUAGUGCGCGGGUUUGCUAAACCCGUAAGGAUGCCGUAAGGCGCCUUCGAGGGUUCGAAUCCCUCCCUCCCCGCCG